CAGUGGCAGUGGUAGCCCAAUGCCAAGGGUUCUGUUAUUAUCUGUCCAGCUUAUUGGAGGUCACAUAAAAUAUCAAAAGUGACACCUCCCCAUCCUGACUUGAUGAUUUCUUCAUGGAGCAGUGGAAAGAACGUAGUCCAGAAAUUAGAAGGUUUUGGUCCAUGGCACAGGAAAUGUCCAGAAAAGAAAAUCUGUACAGUCAGAAAGCAGAUCAGUGUCUUCCUGGGGCUGUCUAUGAGACAAGGACCAACUGUCAAAGAGAACAAGGGAACUUCCUGAAGUGCUGGAGAUGUCCUACACCUAGUCUGUGAUAAUGACUGCACAACUCUGUACAAUUCUAAAAAGAAAUUGAAUUAUAUGCUUACAAUGAAUAAAUUUUAUGGCAUUUAAUUCACACCUCAAUAAAG
RNAcentral lists this long non-coding RNA (407 nucleotides) under Homo sapiens (human). RNAcentral describes it as "HSALNT0293213". The record is from RNAcentral. Lineage: Eukaryota; Metazoa; Chordata; Mammalia; Primates; Hominidae.